RNAcentral lists this long non-coding RNA (307 nucleotides) under Gallus gallus (chicken). RNAcentral describes it as "lncRNA (ENSGALG00010026263.1)". Lineage: Eukaryota; Metazoa; Chordata; Aves; Galliformes; Phasianidae. The record is from RNAcentral.
CCAGACCUCAUUUAAGGGUUGGCAGUGGAGGUGAAGGUGUCUUGCUGGAGAUCCCUGCCUAUCUACGACCUUCUGAGGGAAUAAAAAAAUCCCCACAAACCAGAGCACUGUCCUAUUUGGCUGUAUUACUUCUUCUCUGAGCAACACUGACUUUACUGACUCCAAGUACAGGUGGAGAAGAUCUGGAGAUGCUCGUGCCACUGACAUGUAAGCCAUGUGUGAUGGCACCAGGACAACAGUCUGUGACCUGGAUGGACUUUGUAUCUCAGUUUCCCCUAUGGACAAGGAGGUUGUCCAUUGUGCUCCU